RNAcentral lists this small nucleolar RNA (113 nucleotides) under Ochotona princeps (American pika). RNAcentral's name for it is "Small nucleolar RNA ACA64 (ENSOPRG00000023502.1)". It matches the Rfam family "Small nucleolar RNA ACA64". The record is from RNAcentral. Lineage: Eukaryota; Metazoa; Chordata; Mammalia; Lagomorpha; Ochotonidae.
GCCGCCUGAAGAUCACCCCAGUGGCCUCCGGUAAGACUAGGUGCCUACAACCACCAGGGCUUCAGCUCACCCCGACUGCUGGUGAAGGGCGUGAGACCCAGGCCCCAACAGCA